UUGGCUCCCAUUUAACCAGCCCAAGUAAC
This 29-nucleotide non-coding RNA is filed under the name Mus musculus (house mouse). The record is from RNAcentral. Lineage: Eukaryota; Metazoa; Chordata; Mammalia; Rodentia; Muridae.